This 77-nucleotide transfer RNA is filed under the name Chloroflexota bacterium. RNAcentral describes it as "Chloroflexi bacterium (anaerobic digester metagenome) tRNA-Val". It matches the Rfam family "tRNA". From Rfam's summary of the family: Transfer RNA (tRNA) molecules are approximately 80 nucleotides in length. Their secondary structure includes four short double-helical elements and three loops (D, anti-codon, and T loops). RNAcentral also lists the same sequence under 1 other name. The record is from RNAcentral. Lineage: Bacteria; Bacillati; Chloroflexota.
GGGCGGUUAGCUCAGCUGGCUAGAGCGCCACGUUGACAUCGUGGAGGUCACAGGUUCAAGUCCUGUAUCGCCCACCA